UACGUAGGUGGCAAGCGUUGUCCGGAUUUAUUGGGCGUAAAGGGAGCGCAGGUGGUUUCUUAAGUCUGAUGUGAAAGCCCACGGCUCAACCGUGGAGGGUCAUUGGAAACUGGGGAACUUGAGUGCAGAAGAGGAAAGUGGAAUUCCAAGUGUAGCGGUGGAAUGCGUAGAUAUUUGGAGGAACACCAGUGGCGAAGGCGACUUUCUGGUCUGUAACUGACACUGAGGCUCGAAAGCGUGGGGAGGCAAACAGGAUUAGAUACCCUCGUAGUCCCUGA
RNAcentral lists this ribosomal RNA (278 nucleotides) under uncultured prokaryote. Its description in RNAcentral is "partial 16S ribosomal RNA". It matches the Rfam family "Bacterial small subunit ribosomal RNA", at positions 524 to 800 of the family's 1533-position model. The record is from RNAcentral.